Molecule: non-coding RNA, 9148 nt
Organism: Coturnix japonica (Japanese quail)
Lineage: Eukaryota; Metazoa; Chordata; Aves; Galliformes; Phasianidae
Source: RefSeq, a predicted model, not a curated record
CCUGUCAGCAAGGUAAUAAACUAUUACUACUACAUUCUUUUAAUAUAUUCUCAUGGUAGGCUUUCAUUUAUCAUCCUCCAGUGGGCAAUGUGAAUUGAAUUGCUAAUGCAUAAUUUAAUUGAUAUGAAUUCAAUCCAUAUUUCUCAAUGCUCAGGUCAGCUUAAGCCAUUUGUACUGCUGUUCCCAUGGAACUGAAACUAUAUCUUUUAUACAGCCUUUAGUUUGAUCCUGCAGAUGGCUGCUAUUACACAAAAAGCUCCCAAUAAUCUUCCUACAAUCUGCUUGUUGAAUUGUAGGUAGAGGAAGCAAGCAGAAAUACUGUGAUUCUCAUCAAUGUGAUAAUGAACUCUACACUUCCGUAAGCUCAUAUGUGCAAGUACCUUAAAGCAGAAGCAGCCUGCAAUUAAGCAGUAUUGAUGUUCUAAGAAAGAAGACACAUCCCUUAUCUUUUUAGUUACUGUCUGUGGGAAGCUGGGACAGAAUAUGGUGUAGACAGUGCAGUGACGGCUUUGGUUGGUGGCCGCUGUGGAGGUGACUGUGCUGAGGCUGGUUACAGUCCCUGAGGGACUGAUUGCACUUCAACUCAUGCAACUGCAAAGUCGCUAAAAUGAUACACAAAGUAUCAGCACAUCAAGGAAAAUAUCUUUAUAGAAUAAUUGUGGGUUUGGUUUUUUUAAUCAUUUGAUUAAAUGUUAAAGAAAAGCCUUGCAAUUCAAUUCAACAGAAGAAGAACAGAUCAAUGAUGCUACAGGAGAAAACACAACAAGAAUUAAACUGCUGUAAUUAAUAGUUUCAAAUGUUAUCAUUUGAGCUUCAGUUUGUAUGUAAGUGCUUUUGUUCCUGACUUUACCUGGUCUGAUUGAAGAGUGCCACACCUUAGAUCUUCCUGAUUCAUUAACAGGACCUUUGUUACUUAGCACAGUAUCUUUGUACUUCUCUGACGUCUCACAUGCAGCACUGAAUGCUAGCUUAUCUGCACAUGUGAAAGAACUUAGGAGAUUCCUACCAGGGCAAUAUGAGAAAUCAAGCAAAUUUAUUUUGCUUAUUCAACAAAGCUACCAUACAUACCACUUUUCAUAGCAUUUGCUAGUUGGAGAUGUACUUUGCUGUAUGUUACUAAUUUUCUGUAUGUAUCUAAACAAUAGCAACAGCUUUAUUACACUCCACUGCUCCUCAGCUGGGGGUAUUCAGAAAUGUUCUGGUUCCCAGAAUCAUUUCCUACCAUGGUGGCGUUAAUAAUGUCUAUUCAGAGCCCGUAGUUGCUUCCUUCCUAUCUUAAAUAAAGUAUGUAUGAUACAGUUAAAAAUAGGCAUUGUUGGAAGAUGGCAGACAGGCAAAUAUCCUCUCCUUUAUCACAUUGCCUCCCUUCAAGGAGAUUCUGCAGUACAGGUACAAUUACAAUUCUGCUUCUGAACAUAACUUUUGGCUGGAAUACAUAUUCUUUUACCACGUUUCAAAGCUGCAAACCAGGGUAUAAGUACAGAAGUGGCUUUUAGAUACCUGAGAAGUAAAGUUAAGUACACUCUGGUCAAUCAGUGACUCUUUUUAUUGAGCCUAAAGAAUGCGAGGCAGUAACACUUCUAAAACAUAUGGAAAGCAUGCAUUCCGGAUGGGAAGGAAGCUGGAAUACUUAGAUAUACUCUGAAGGAAUAUGAAGAUAGAGUUUAUUAUGGAAAGAUCGGAAUCCUGAUAGAUUAAAAUCCUGAAUAUACUGGAUUGUGAUACACUAUUUGAAACCCACUCUCACAAAUCCCAUUGGAAAAAACCUUUGUGGAAGUAUGCUGAACACAUGCAAAAUUUGUUUUUCUAGGGUGAUAAACAGCAGCAUUGUUAUGAAGUUAUUUUCACGUUUCCUUGUUACAUGACUAAGUUUUAAUGACUUUUUUUCCUUUGAAUGAGGCUUUCAUAUUUCUUAAGCUGUUUGAGAACCUCCCACUCCUCCAGUCCUCAGAGCUCUGCAGCCAGCCUUUCUCAGAGGACAUUCCAGUUUUGUCACUGCACAGCUGCACUUGGCAGCAAGCCCUCCACACGAGGCGUUUGCCAAAGAGGCGCUCGGACCCCCCAGACGCUCUCCUGAAACAAUGGCCAAUAAUACGACAUCUGUAUAACUGCUAAAUAUCUUUUUUUUGCCUUAGAAAGAAUUUGUUUACUUCAGUUAUAAAAGGUGUUAUAUCUUUGACGUCACUGGGUUUAUGCUCAAAGUGUUCUGUGGAAACUACCUCAUUGCUUUAUAUUUCACAGGCUGAUGGAUAGCAUAAGCUUAAUACACUGAGCUGCUGAUAAAUAAAAUCCACUGCAUUCUUUUUGUUGUGGGCCUGCUCUUUGGUCAGGGAGUCAUCUCCUUGGAACUCUUUACUUUCUAAAUUUUUAAAGUACUUAUCAUAAAGAUCAGCCAUGAAAAGAAACAGAAGGAUAAAAACUAAUGAAUUUGGAAGGUAUUUCUUUCCUUUUCCUUACAUACUGAAAUUAACAUUAGUCUUUUCAUGUGUCUGGUAGUCAAGCAUUUGAUUUCAGACAGAGGAAGGCAGAAAGCUGUGUACUUCUUUAGUCCUAUUCUAAACUUUAAAAUCCCCCAUUUUGUAUGGAUACUAGGAAGAAUUUGAUGUCAAUUCCAUAAAAUCAUAAUGAAUAAAUAAAUACAUAAGUAAAUAAGAAAUUAUGUUUGACUAAGCUGUAUUAGACCACAGAGGCCUUGAGUGUUUCACACAUCUCCUCUCCAUAAUUUUUCUCAUCCUCUAGGCUGGUAGUGUUUUGAACCAUAGCACUAGGAAUUCUCCCUCCACAAAGGAAAACUGCAAUUUAGAAGUAGUGUCAAUUAAAUGUUAUGAAAAUACUUAAGGAUGUUUCAACAUAGUGUGAGUUUAACUUUCUAUUUUAAAACAAUCAUUUUGUUUUAAACUAAAUGUAGCGCUGGUUAAACAUGUCCAAAAUAACUCAGAAAUCCUUUCUGUGUGUAGCAGGAACAGCACAUUGCAAUAGCAGUGUAAACUUGCCUCCUACCACUAUUGUGUUUAGGGGUAUAUCUAGUCCUAACUGAGCAAAGUCUCUCCAUGUACUUUCUAUGAGGAUUUGCUUAAAUCCCACAUAAAACUUUGCUGAGAGUAAAUUAGUCUAUGCCCAUUUGCACCUCAUUUCAGCUGUUUAUCUCUCCUGUAUGGAUUUUCUCCUUAUUAUGUAUUGUAGAAUAGAAAUUAAUUUCUUUAAGGCAAAACUCCAAUUAUUUUUUUUCAGGAAUAGAGCAAUUUUUGUUGUUCCCUUUAUUGUUUUAUUGUGAUUAUGUAUUUAAAAAAAUUAUGUGAGUAUUCAAACACUCAAACUACAAGCAAUUGCAUUAUGUUUUUAGUCACUUUUUCAGCAGCCUUUUUCUUCAUUUCUAAGCUUGAACCCAAGCAAAGAAUUUGCAGUGGUAGGCAUAGAGGAAAUGCUAAGUCACAGCUUCAAACAGUGAUUAAGCACCUGGUGGGAAGGCAGGGAUAACCCAGGGGAGCUCAGUUGCAUGCAGUGCACCUGAGUAACUGGAAAGGCUGGAGCCAGGAUCCUCCUCAUUUAAGACUUCACUUAAGGGUUGGUAGUGGAGGUAAGUGUGUUUUACUGGUGGUUUUUGUGCACCUGAGGCCUUCUGGAGGUAAGCAGAUUCUUUCUUUUGUCUCUGUGUCCAUAGCUGUUGUAUUUGAGCAAGUUCUCACUUGUUACAGCCUAAUGCUUUGCUAUUCUGCUGUCAGUGCUGCACUUUCCAUCGUGUUACAGUAGGUUUUUCAUUGCUGUAGGGCAAGUAGAUGAAAAGAUAUUUUUUUUCUUUUUAUGUGUUGUCUUCUUGCUUGGAAACAUUAAGCGCAAUUUACCAAACUGUAAGGAUGACUCUUUCAAUACUGAUUGUAAAUUAUGGGAUGCAUUUCUAAAUCUGAUGAGUUCCUGAAAUGUGACUGUACUCUUUUAUAUAAAGUUUUUCUUAGACUUGGAUCUCAAAAGAUAUACUCCAGUACUACUCUGCACACAUCACUUUUGUCUUCCCUAGACAAUGUUUCAACAUGCUGUAGUAUUAAGAUCAAAAAAUGUGGCAUGAGGGAAGUUAUUAAUCCUAUUUCCUUUGCUAAAGUUAUAAGGACUAUAAGUUUAUUCCCUAAAUGUCUCCAAAAUGGCAUCUCAAGAGUCAAUCAAAAUGGGCAAAUAUAUUAUAUGAAAAAAUAAAAAGACAAACAAUUACAAGACAGAUAUCUCCAAAACAAAGUUUAGUUCAGUUAGAACAGGAUGACUCAACCUUUCCUGCUAGAAACUUAGCUAUGCCUUCACUGGGGAAUAGGAGAACACGGAAUGUACUUUUAUAUUAACUUCUCUAAUGUAGGAUUUUUUUUCCUUAUGCAAUUGAUUUUGUUUGUCAGGCACAGCUUCACAACCUGUGAUGAAACAUUCAAACAUUACCUAUUCAUUGACUCAUCUAGAUGGGAAUCCACUGGCCUACUAGUGAAAUGACAUACUACAGCUGUGCUGAUGUCUUUGUUCUUACUUGGACUCCAAAGUACAGCACAUGUUUACAAGGAUUUAUCUUGUGAUGAUUUUUUAUUAUUAUUUAUGUCAACAAAGACAUUGAAUGGAACAGUACUCUAAAUCUCAGCAGACUGGAGAGUUAUGUGAAGUGUUGUAAUGUGUUUCUCACAGAAACCAACACAUGACUAAUAGUAUAAUUUUCUAUAUAUUCCAAAUGAACAUCAUCUUGAAAGAGUCUCUUAAGAAUGUGCAGAUGGUUUCUUUUAUGUGUUAAAAAUCCAUAAAAUUCCAUACAUGAGAAUUUACAAAUAUCAGAGGAAAAAUAGAAGAUUUUUUACCAUGGUUUAGCUAGGCUGAGUCUGUAGGGACCUCUGACGGAAACCUCAGUGACUGGCAGAACCAUUUGUUACUACGUUGUUAUCAGUAAAUGAUAGCUAAAGUUGCAAAACAGUUACUCAAGUUGUAACAGGAAGAACUAGUAGCUCUGUUUGGUGAGAGAAAUUGGUGAUUUAAUAUUGUCAGUGAUUCUGGUUGGUUGUUGCUUUUUUGUUUUGUUUUGUUUUUUAAUGGCAACAACAGCAAUUUAUUAAUAAAAUCCACAGGGAUCUCAUGACUAACAGAAAGCAAUGGGCCCUCAGCUUUCCCAGACAAGCCCUACAAGUUAUAAAUAAAUAGAUGCAAGUUGAACUGCUGUAGCCUACAUUGAAAUGCCUAAACAAGUGGUCUGGGAUAAAGUUCAAGAAAUUGAAUAAGUUGACAAAAAUAAUUUGUAUUAAUAAGUCAGUGGAUGGCUGAAUAUCCAGGAGGGGAAAAAGAAAAUUGAAAUGUGUAGGCAGUGUGGGGAUGGAUUAGGAGAGGCAUCUUCAACAGAAUGUAUUAAUGCCUUUGUAAUCAGGACUGGUAGAAAAAAUGGGAAAAAAUGAUAUAAUGAAAAAAAAGUUUACAGUUCUCAUCUGCCUUGUUUGGGGAAAAUAAGAUGACUGGAAGAAAAUUGCACUUUUUCUUGAAUUUAGUGAAGAAAAGGUAAAGGUUUUUUUUCUUUUUUCCCCCUGGAAUUUUAACCAGGAUAAGCCUCAGUCAGGAACAAAGAGCCACACAGUAUGAAGAAUAAAAUGGGAACUGAGACUGGAAAUUUAAAAGCUUCUGAAUCUCAAAGGAGUGAAUUUGUGAAACAACCAAUGGGAACAUAAGGAGAAUAAACAUGAUGUGGUUGCCUGCACCUCUCUUACAUGGAUUUGCUGAACUUAAUGAUAAGGUUAAUGUGAAAAGUGUGAGUGUAAACAAGGUGAGAUAAAGAGGAGUAUGACUAUAGGAUCUGUAUUUUCUCUGCUAGGAAAAGGCAAGGUGAUUAAGAUAAAGAAUGAGAAAGCAUCAGGCUUAAAUAGCUCAAAGCACAGGGUAGAGACCAACAACAAGGGGGAAAUGGAGCAAAUGGGCUCGGUUUGGAGAUGGGCAGCAGAGGAGGUCUGUGAGUGUCCAAGUGUCAGCUGCUGGAAAUGUCAAAAGAAUAUCUUUACACCAUGACAACUGGAAAACAAACUGGGCAGUGUGGUGGAGGUGCUGCUGUGCAGGCCUGCUCAGGCAGCUGUUUUGUUAAGCAUAAUUUUCUUCUACAUGACUGAUUCUUAUUUUUCCAAGUUGAGGAAAAAAGAAUUUGAUAUGUUUUCUUGAGAAUUUAUCUGAUGACAAUGUAUUUACGGAACUUCUCACGAAAAUCAUCACAUAAAUAUUUGAUUCUGAUUGUGAUUUCAGCAAGUUUAUUUCCAAGAGCUUGAUUUAUUGAUAAAAUUCCAUGUACUGGUCUCCAAACAAAACAGCAAAGACUGAGAAUAUGAAAGAGGCAAAGUUAUUGGGUUUUACUUUAACAUAUUAUUUUCAGCUACUGCUUUUUAUUUUAAGGAUAUAAAUCACAGAAACUAAGUGAAGAUGGAGAGCAUCCUUUCACUUGUAAUAAUUUGCAUUUCAAUAUUAACUUCUUUUGCCUUCCUCUCCCAGAUCCUGACAAAUUCCUUGCUGCAGUUUUUAGAUGAUAAGUCCUGCAAAGCAAGGCAAACAUCUGAACGCUGCUGAAUUAAAAGAUUGAAGUAAUAUAAGACUAUUCAGGUUAACAGAAAUGUAAAAUACCGGUUAUAAUCUGACUUAAUUACGUGACUAGCGACUUUCUGUCAGUGCAGUAAGUUUCUGAUUUACAAAGGAGGCCUAGAUUCGUUGGAAUAUUAGUAAAUUUUUUUCCAUGGUCAAGUUUUUAGAGAAUGAACUUCUGGCCAUAAGGAGUCAUACAAGGAAAGGAACUGGUUCCACUGUCCAUCACUGCAGAGCAGACUAUUCUCUGCUUGAGAGUUGAGCUCAGAAUUUACUUGCUGCUAAGCCUGGUGAAAAUAAGUGGAAAUUCUAUUAAGUCUCUUGCUUUCCACUUCUUUUGGAUUGGGAUCUCAUUACUUUAAAGUACUGUUACUGAAAUGCGUCCUUACUACUUGAGAUUAGUAAUAAUUCUAGUGGUAGCUGAAAGUAAUUUUAGGUGUGUGAACUGGUGCAGCUGAGAUUAUAAAUUGGCACUGCAGAUGUCCUUUUCAAUUCAUGAAAGCCCGUGGAAGUUUUAUCUGGCUGAGGACUUAGUGCCCAGUGUGUCAGGGCCUCAUCCUGGCUUUACUCAUAUGCACAUUUUGUGAAUUCUUUUUAUGAGUUGUCAUAGAGCAUGUUUGAAUACCUUUUUCUUUCUUGAGGAUGGAAGAAACCUUUCAAACCCUGUUAGUAGGCCAUGCAUUUUCCAACUACUUCAUGGUGUCUAACUUUAAUUUAAAAAAAAAAUAAAAUUAAUGUGGUAAUUAAGCAUGAAGUCAGAACUGAUCAGCUUUAGAUUUCUUAGUCCUGCCAUAAAGGAAGCAGUCAGAUCCAGUCAAUAUAAGAGAUGAGAAGCCCUUAUUUACUCUUCUGCUAUAUCCCAAAGGAAAAAUAAGGUCAGGGAAAGGACAUUAAGCUGUACAAUAUUUGGAAAGUGAGCUCUGUACGACGUAAAUUGAAUAUACAAUUCAAGUACAAGCUUGGUAAAGGAAUCCUCACUGUGUAUAUGAAAUGUUUCCCUGAUGAAUAGUCAAUGGCUCUGGUUUGUGUUUGAAUUCCUCCCUCUGCACUCAUGCAUUUAGGAAACCAGGUUGGAAAAGAUUCAUUUCUGUCAUUACCAGUUUUACUGGAAAAAACAGGAAUGCUUCCACUGUGAAGAAAUUCUUUAUGAAAGGGGCACUGAAGCAGUGGUGCCAGGUGGGGAAGACAUCUUUAGUGUUUGUCAUAGCUUCCAUAGAAAGUCUGGCUGAAAAGGUCAGGGAUGCUCUGAAGAGGCAUGGAAUUUUGUUUUUCCAAAGUGCACCACCUGCUUACCAUGGUAAAUUACACUUAAGUAUAAGAAGUGUGCAAAUGGCAGUAGCUUGUCCCUUAAGCCUAGGCCUUCACCCACAAACAGCUGGUACGUUUGACCUGGAAACAUCCAUACUCAUUAUUCCUGCCUUGACAAACCCUGCUUUCAAGCUGAGAAAACGAGCACAGCAUGGCCUUGACUGUGGUCUAACUGCACCACCCUGCGUGGCAUGUCUGGCCCAUGCUACCAACCUAUUUUUAAAAAGGAGCAGUGUGUCAUCUGAAGAAACUGUUUUCGGCUUCUGUUGCUAGAACUUAAGGAUUGCUUUUAUCCUUCCUAGCCAAAGAAAAGGAGGUGAAGAUACUAAGAAAGGUAUCUAAACAUAUCCAUUAACUGAUGAAUGUACUCUCUUUGUUGCUUGUAAGACAAUAGAUGACUUCUGUUGAUAGAAUAAAUACUUGAGUAAAUGGAUGGUUUAGCUAGAAAUUGUUUUUGUGGGAAGCUGUAGCUGUGGUUGUGGCAUUAAACAAAUUCUUUGAAAACAUAGAAAAGAUUAAUCAUUGGCAUCUAGAGAGGAAAAAAAUGUUAGUGAUGUUUAUUGAAGGCAUCGUUAAAUGCCAUGGCUUAUUAUAAAACAUGAAAGAAAAUAAGCCUCAACAAACCACAGCAGAAGGAAGAAAUUUUUUUCUUAUAUUAGAAAUUUUUGGAAGAGCUGAGUUUCUGCUUUAUGUGAACAAGUAUGUCCUACUCCAUAUUUAACCUUUCAGGGGAAUGAAGGAAGGUACUGCAAGAGUUCAUUAAAUAGGCACCACCAAAACAGUAUAUAAUGUUUUGAUGAAAGACAGGAGAAGGAAAGAAGGCAGAGAAUGUGCCCCCUUCAUGUCAUCUGUAGCACAGUCAUGAAGAACAGCAGAUCUUUUCUGCAGUGCGUGCUGAUUUGUAAAGUAAAAACAAAUAAGACAGGCUGAAGUAUCAUUCAGCUCUUUUGGAUUUCCAUGUAAUGCCAAAUUUAAGAAAUGUUGCUUCUGAACUCAGCUAUAAAAGGUAUUGUGUGUAUUUCAGCUCUUCCAAGUACAGCAUGUGAAUGGGAUCAUCAGCUAAUCCAGAUCUACUGAGAAUAUUUGACCCAGUAUUUUAAAGGCUAGAGCACUCACCACCUGCAAGCCCUGACGAAGGACACUCGAAACUUAUUUAUAAUUCUUCGGGCACAUUAGGCUGGACAGUCCAUUCACAGAUGGCCUUGAAGUCUUACAUCUUCUCUUGGUAAAGUAAUCUGUCCAUUCACAAAUAUAAACAUUUGUUCAAGUCAAA